GACGAACGCUGGCGGCGUGCUUAACACAUGCAAGUCGAACGGAAAGGCCCUGCUUUUGUGGGGUGCUCGAGUGGCGAACGGGUGAGUAACACGUGAGUAACCUGCCCUUGACUUUGGGAUAACUUCAGGAAACUGGGGCUAAUACCGGAUAGGAGCUCCUGCUGCAUGGUGGGGGUUGGAAAGUUUCGGCGGUUGGGGAUGGACUCGCGGCUUAUCAGCUUGUUGGUGGGGUAGUGGCUUACCAAGGCUUUGACGGGUAGCCGGCCUGAGAGGGUGACCGGCCACAUUGGGACUGAGAUACGGCCCAGACUCCUACGGGAGGCAGCAGUGGGGAAUAUUGCACAAUGGGCGGAAGCCUGAUGCAGCAACGCCGCGUGCGGGAUGACGGCCUUCGGGUUGUAAACCGCUUUCGCCUGUGACGAAGCGUGAGUGACGGUAAUGGGUAAAGAAGCACCGGCUAACUACGUGCCAGCAGCCGCGGUGAUACGUAGGGUGCGAGCGUUGUCCGGAUUUAUUGGGCGUAAAGGGCUCGUAGGUGGUUGAUCGCGUCGGAAGUGUAAUCUUGGGGCUUAACCCUGAGCGUGCUUUCGAUACGGGUUGACUUGAGGAAGGUAGGGGAGAAUGGAAUUCCUGGUGGAGCGGUGGAAUGCGCAGAUAUCAGGAGGAACACCAGUGGCGAAGGCGGUUCUCUGGGCCUUUCCUGACGCUGAGGAGCGAAAGCGUGGGGAGCGAACAGGCUUAGAUACCCUGGUAGUCCACGCUGUAAACGGUGGGUACUAGGUGUGGGGUCCGUUCCACGGGUUCCGUGCCGUAGCUAACGCUUUAAGUACCCCGCCUGGGGAGUACGGCCGCAAGGCUAAAACUCAAAGGAAUUGACGGGGCCCCGCACAAGCGGCGGAGCAUGCGGAUUAAUUCGAUGCAACGCGUAGAACCUUACCUGGGUUUGACAUGGAUCGGGAGUGCUCAGAGAUGGGUGUGCCUCUUUUGGGGUCGGUUCACAGGUGGUGCAUGGCUGUCGUCAGCUCGUGUCGUGAGAUGUUGGGUUAAGUCCCGCAACGAGCGCAACCCUUGUUCACUGUUGCCAGCACGUUAUGGUGGGGACUCAGUGGAGACCGCCGGGGUCAACUCGGAGGAAGGUGGGGAUGACGUCAAGUCAUCAUGCCCCUUAUGUCCAGGGCUUCACGCAUGCUACAAUGGCUGGUACAGAGAGUGGCGAGCCUGUGAGGGUGAGCGAAUCUCGGAAAGCCGGUCUCAGUUCGGAUUGGGGUCUGCAACCCGACCUCAUGAAGUCGGAGUCGCUAGUAAUCGCAGAUCAGCAACGCUGCGGUGAAUACGUUCCCGGG
This 1343-nucleotide ribosomal RNA is filed under the name uncultured bacterium. RNAcentral's name for it is "16S ribosomal RNA". It matches the Rfam family "Bacterial small subunit ribosomal RNA", at positions 28 to 1378 of the family's 1533-position model. The record is from RNAcentral.